GUCAAUGUGCAGUCUAAACAUGUGACAGAUGCAGAGAAAACUUCAAAGAUGCCAUUACAAAUGCCUGUGGAGAUAUUUAAGGAGCCAGAUGCUACUGUUUCAUGUCUUCCGCAGCUCUGAAUGUGUCCUGUGAUCACCUUCCAAAGAGGAGGUGUGGUUCGAUAUGGGAGAUCCCCUUAGUAUUUGAAGAAUACAGGCUUCCAAAAAAAAUCUCUUGUACUAUACCAACCAUGAUUAUUUAUGGGUCAGAUAAAACACAGAUACCUCAGUUUUACGCAGAAGAAAUCUGGUACAUUUUACCUGUCUAUACUUCUUUGAUUUGAAGUCUUCACCACGAAAAUCUUGGAGAACAUUUCAAGAACAGUCUUCCUUCUGUCUUCGAACAAGAGUGUCAAGGACCCUUCAGUGAAG
This 411-nucleotide long non-coding RNA is filed under the name Papio anubis (olive baboon). Its description in RNAcentral is "lncRNA (ENSPANG00000045348.1)". Lineage: Eukaryota; Metazoa; Chordata; Mammalia; Primates; Cercopithecidae. The record is from RNAcentral.